RNAcentral lists this ribosomal RNA (464 nucleotides) under Vreelandella stevensii. RNAcentral's name for it is "partial 16S ribosomal RNA". It matches the Rfam family "Bacterial small subunit ribosomal RNA", at positions 338 to 795 of the family's 1533-position model. The record is from RNAcentral. Lineage: Bacteria; Pseudomonadati; Pseudomonadota; Gammaproteobacteria; Oceanospirillales; Halomonadaceae.
CCUACGGGAGGCAGCAGUGGGGAAUAUUGGACAAUGGGCGAAAGCCUGAUCCAGCCAUGCCGCGUGUGUGAAGAAGGCCUUCGGGUUGUAAAGCACUUUCAGUGGGGAAGAAAGCCUUGGGGCUAAUACCCUCGAGGAAGGACAUCACCCACAGAAGAAGCACCGGCUAACUCCGUGCCAGCAGCCGCGGUAAUACGGAGGGUGCGAGCGUUAAUCGGAAUUACUGGGCGUAAAGCGCGCGUAGGCGGUCUGAUAAGCCGGUUGUGAAAGCCCCGGGCUCAACCUGGGAACGGCAUCCGGAACUGUCAGGCUAGAGUGCAGGAGAGGAAGGUAGAAUUCCCGGUGUAGCGGUGAAAUGCGUAGAGAUCGGGAGGAAUACCAGUGGCGAGGCGGCCUUCUGGACUGACACUGACGCUGAGGUGCGAAAGCGUGGGUAGCAAACAGGAUUAGAUACCCGGGUAGUC